AUUUUAAUGAUCGAACAGAUCAAAAUUUUAAACUUUUGCAUUUAAAUUUUAUCUUAAUCCAACAUCGAGGUCGCAAACUUUUUUUUUUAUUUGAGCUAAAAAAAAAUAUUACGCUGUUAUCCCUAAGGUAAUUUUUUCUUAUAAUCAUUAUUAAUGGAUCAUUUAAUCAUUUAUUUAUGUUUAAUUUUUAAAAAAAGUUAAUUUAAUUUUUCUAUCACCCCAAUAUAAUAAUUAAUUUUAUUUCAAUAAAAAUUUUUAUAUAAUUUUAAAAUAAAAAUAAAUAUAAAACUCUAUAGGGUCUUCUCGUCUUUUAAAAUUAAUUUAGCUUUUUAACUAAAAAAUAAACUUCUAAAAAUAAAUAAGAGACAGUUUAUAUUUCAUCAAAUCUUUCAUACAAGUUUUCAAUUAAAAAACUAGUGAUUAUGCUACCUUUGUACAGUCAUUAUACUGCAGCCCUUUAAUUAUUAUCAGUGGGCAGAUUAGACCUUAAAUUAUAUUCAAA
RNAcentral lists this ribosomal RNA (502 nucleotides) under Oeneis norna (Norse grayling). RNAcentral describes it as "partial 16S rRNA". Lineage: Eukaryota; Metazoa; Arthropoda; Insecta; Lepidoptera; Nymphalidae. The record is from RNAcentral.